This 1396-nucleotide ribosomal RNA is filed under the name uncultured bacterium. RNAcentral's name for it is "16S ribosomal RNA". It matches the Rfam family "Bacterial small subunit ribosomal RNA", at positions 20 to 1398 of the family's 1533-position model. The record is from RNAcentral.
UGGCUCAGAUUUGAACGCUGGCGGCAUGCUUUACACAUGCAAGUCGGACGGCAGCACAGAGAAGCUUUGCUUUCUUGGGUGGCGAGCGGCGAACGGGUGAGUAACAUAUCGGAACGUACCGAGUAAUGGGGGAUAACUAAUCGAAAGAUUAGCUAAUACCGCAUAUUCUCUGAGGAGGAAAGCAGGGGACCUUCGGGCCUUGCGUUAUUUUGAGCGGCCGAUAUCUGAUUAGCUAGUUGGUGGGGUAAAGGCCUACCAAGGCGACGAUUCAGUAGCGGGUCUGAGAGGAUGAUUCCGCCACACUGGGACUGAGACACGGCCCAGACUCCUACGGGAGGCAGCAGUGGGGAAUUUUGGACAAUGGGCGCAAGCCUGAUUCCAGCCAUGCCGCGUGUCUGAAAAAGGCCUUCGGGUUUGUAAAGGACUUUUUGUCAGGGAAGAAAAGGACAGGGUUAAUACCCCUGUCUGAUGACGGUACCUGAAGAAUAAGCACCGGCUAACUACGUGCCAGCAGCCGCGGUAAUACGUAGGGUGCGAGCGUUAAUCGGAAUUACUGGGCGUAAAGCGAGCGCAGACGGUUACUUAAGCAGGAUGUGAAAUCCCCAGGCUCAACCUGGGAACUGCGUUCUGAACUGGGUGGCUAGAGUGUGUCAGAGGGAGGUAGAAUUCCACGUGUAGCAGUGAAAUGCGUAGAGAUGUGGAGGAAUACCGAUGGCGAAGGCAGCCUCCUGGGAUAACACUGACGUUCAUGCUCGAAAGCGUGGGUAGCAAACAGGAUUAGAUACCCUGGUAGUCCACGCCCUAAACGAUGUCAAUUAGCUGUUGGGCAACUUGAUUGCUUAGUAGCGUAGCUAACGCGUGAAAUUGACCGCCUGGGGAGUACGGUCGCAAGAUUAAAACUCAAAGGAAUUGACGGGGACCCGCACAAGCGGUGGAUGAUGUGGAUUAAUUCGAUGCAACGCGAAGAACCUUACCUGGUCUUGACAUGUACGGAAUCCUCCAGAGACGGAGGAGUGCCUUCGGGAGCCGUAACACAGGUGCUGCAUGGCUGUCGUCAGCUCGUGUCGUGAGAUGUUGGGUUAAGUCCCGCAACGAGCGCAACCCUUGUCAUUAGUUGCCAUCAUUUAGUUGGGCACUCUAAUGAGACUGCCGGUGACAAGCCGGAGGAAGGUGGGGAUGACGUCAAGUCCUCAUGGCCCUUAUGACCAGGGCUUCACACGUCAUACAAUGGUCGGUACAGAGGGUAGCCAAGCCGCGAGGUGGAGCCAAUCUCACAAAACCGAUCGUAGUCCGGAUUGCACUCUGCAACUCGAGUGCAUGAAGUCGGAAUCGCUAGUAAUCGCAGGUCAGCAUACUGCGGUGAAUACGUUCCCGGGUCUUGUACACACCGCCCGUC